This 232-nucleotide long non-coding RNA is filed under the name Manihot esculenta (cassava). RNAcentral describes it as "long non-coding RNA (MESC_LNC012651)". The record is from RNAcentral. Lineage: Eukaryota; Viridiplantae; Streptophyta; Magnoliopsida; Malpighiales; Euphorbiaceae.
GGGAGGCAACCCAGUGGAGGUGAUUUGCCCAAAUCAAUGGGCAAAUCAGCAGAACUGAACUACAGCAGAGGUGAUUUGGCCAAGUGAUUUGCCCAAAUCAUUGUCCAAAUCAGCAGAACCUCCAACAGCUGAUCAAUCUGCAGAAUCUCAUAUUGACAGAAUGGAGGCUCGAAUCAUACACAUGGAAAGCAUGCUGUAGCUGCUGGUUCAACACUUCAUACCUGCAGACCAC